CCAUAUGAUAUCGGCUGCAACAAAACAUAAACAUCACAACUAAAUUCGAUUACAACUCAAAAAAUAAUAUUCUACAUCUGCACAAAAAACACAAAGUGUCAACGAAAAGAAUAACUUACACCAGAUUUACGAUACCUUAAAAAGCGUCUCCUAGGAUUUUUAAGAGUCCACGAUGUGAGAAGAAGCGCAACAUUUUCACAUUCACAAUUCCUUCCGAACAUCCGGUUAGAAGAGCUCGAUAUUUGCAACAUUUUAUAAAAGAGCAACAAAAAAAAAAGUAAAAUAAAAGAGAAAAGUUGUUCGAAAUCGAAGAAGAGAACUAACAACUUCCAGAAUUUGGUAUUAAUUACUAUCUUAAUUGUCACACCUCCUUUUUUAUCGGGAAAGAAAAGAAAAGGAGUUUUUUCAAUUUAAGUAACAUUACUUCAAAAGGGAUUAUUGAAACUACUAUAUACUGAAAGCUUAUUACUAGGGGUGUACAAAGAAAACCGCCAAACCGUAUCAACCCGAUAAUCCGAGUCAAACCGGGAAAAAAAACCCGACCAUGGUUUGGUUUGAUUUGGUUUAGUAUUGAAAAAAAAAACCGACCAUAAUUGGUUUGGUUUGGUUUUAACUAAAGAAAGUCAAACCGAAACCAACCAACCCGACAUUACAUAUGUAGAAAUUUUAGAUAUAUUCAAUAUAUAAUAUACUUAUUGUGAUGUAAUUUAUAAAUAUUUCUUUAAAAAUCAUAACUUUAUCUUUUAAUGUAUUAUUUCAAGGUUGGACUUAGAACCAAUAAGUUUUAUAGCCAUUAACAUAAGUAAAUUAAAUAAUGCCAAUAAAAUCCAAAUUAAAACCAAAGUCAAAUCAAUAUUAAUGCUAACAAAAGACAUUCAAUUCAAUACUAUGAACAGGAAUGUAUUGAAUAUCUAUUUUUGUUUUGCCAUAAUUUAGAUAAAAGUCAAAUAAUGCUAACAAAAGACAUUCAAUUUAAUAUUAUGAACGGGAAUGUAUUGAAUAUCUAUUUUUGUUUUGCCAUAAUUUAGAUAAAAAUGCACAACCUAUUUUUAUUUUUUCUUUAGCAUUUAGUCAUGUAAUUCCAAAUAUANNNNNNNNNNNNNNNNNNNNNNNNNNNNNNNNNNNNNNNUAAUAUUCCCUUAUUAGUCUACUUAUUUUAGCAUGACUUAGUACUUUUAGAUUAUGUUUAUUUUUAUUAUGGCUUUUUAAUUAGCAAUAUUAAUAUUACAUAAUUUUAUUGUCUUUGUUAUUGAAUAUUUUUGGAUGAUGCCAUGACACAUCUCAUAUUUUGAAUUAUUUUCUUGGAAAAUACUUUCUAUAGUUGUAUCUUACUAGGAUUAAAGAAAUAUUUUGAGCAUAAUUUAUAUAUUUUGUUGAAUGAAGAUUUUAUUGGGAAAAAAUUAGAAAAAACUCGAAUAACCAGAAUAACCCGAAAACCCGAGAAAAUCCGUAAAAUCAUAGAGCGAAAAACCCGAGUUUUAUUGGUUUGGUUUGGUAUUUAGAUUUAAUAACCCGAUACAAUUGAUUUGAUUUGGUAAUAGUAAAAUCCGAACCAACCCGGCCUAUGUACACCCCUACUUAUUACUGGUCAAGUUUUUUUUUUUUAAUUAAAUCUUUUGUAUUAUUCACCAAAGGUAUCUCUUUACAAAACUAUAGUGCAGCUAUACACAGCUGACUAUCAUCUAAAAGAACUAACUGACAUCUACAUUUACUAUACCUAUAGUUCUAAUUAUUGAAGAGAAUGCAGAAGGUGUAGACUGACUUUAGGGGGACUCCUAACAUGACACAUAUAAGCUAUGCUUCUGAGUAACUGUCCACUGGUAUAGGAUGUGUUGUUGAACAAUCUUGAGUUUCUCUCUAACCAAAUAUUAUAAAGCAUUUCAGCAAAUACCAUUUUGAUCAUUUGAGCUCAACCUGAUCUCCCUUUAGAUUUGGUUAUAAUCCACUGUAUGUAUUGCUCCCAAUUCUGGUAAUUGGCUUGUGUUACUCCAAUCCACUGUAAAGUUUGGUGUCCCAGCAAAGCAGUGAAUGAACAUGAGAAGAACAGAUGAUCCAUACUCUCCUUGUCUUGUUGGCAUAAUGUGCAAGUGUUGUCCACAUUGAGUUUCCAUUGUUCCAGUCUAUCCAUGGUAGGCAAGCUAUUCUGUAGUAUCAGCCAGAGGUUAAGGACUACCUUAGGUCUAGCAUAGUUUUGGAUAGUUAGAUUCUUCCACACUACUCUUGGUAACUGCCCAAUCUGUUGCAAGUAAAGCUUCUUGAUAGAGCAAGCUGGUUGUUGCAGUAUCUGUGAGUGUAGCAAUGUAACAGUAGAAGCAAUGAUCUUCCUAACCAUCCAACUGGCUUGGUUAGGAAUAGUUAAGGACUGUAAUUGUUGUUGUUUUAUGUAGACAGCAUGUAUCCAUUUUACCCAUAAAGCAUCUUUCUUAUUGGCCAGAUCCCACCCAAGUUUGUUGAUUGCAGCUUUGUUCCAUGUAUACAGCAUGUAUCCAUUUCACCCAUAGAGCAUCUUUCUUAUUGGCCAGAUCACACCCAAGUUUGUUGAUUGCAGCUUUGUUCCAUAAUAGCAGAUUCAUAACAUUUAAACCCCCAGCAGAUUUAGGCAGGCAGACUUUAUCCCAGGCUAUAUAUGAUUUUUUUGAUAUGUUGGCUGAUCCUGUCCAAACAUAGGAUCUACAUACAGCAUCCAGCAUCUUUAAUAUUUUGGAAGGAAUAAGGAAAAGCUGAGCCCAGUAUGCUUGUAUACCAAAAAUGACAGAUUGUACCAGCUAAACUCUCCCUGCAUAGGAAUGUCCAAACAUAGGAUCUACAUACAUCAUCCAGCAUCUUUUAUAUUUUUGAAGGAAUAAGGAAAAGCUGAGCCUAGUAUGCUUGUAUACCAAAAAUGAUAGAUUGUACCAGCUGAACUCUCCCUGCAUAGGAUAGUUUCCUAGCAGUCCAGGAUGUGAUCCUGGCAGUAACCUUAUCCACCAAUAGUUGCCAUUGUAGUAAUGACAUCUUCUUGGCUGAUAAGGGAACUCCCAAAUACUUGAAGGGUAAUUCUCCAUAUACAUAACCAAGAUGAUUGAUAAUGUGUUGCUGUACAUCAGGAGGAACUCCUCAAAAAUAGAUAGAGCUUUUACUCAGGGUAGCAGUCAUACCAGAAGACUCAGUGAUUGUACAUCAGGAGGAACUCCUCCAAAAUAGACAGAUCUUUUACUCAGGUUGGCAGUCAUACCAGAAGACUCAGUGAACUGGGAGAAGUAUCUGAACAUGGUUGUGACUGCCUUCAAAUCUCCUUUGGCAAAUAACAAUAAGUCAUCUGCAAAAUUAAGAUGGGUGAUAUUUAACCUCUUGCAACCAGAAUGAAAUAAGAAAUCUGGAUCUUUCUUCAGUUCCACAAGAGCCCUGCUAAAUUAUUCCAUCACUAUAGCAAAUAGGAAGGGAGAGACUGGGUCACCUUGUCUCAAACCUUUAGCUGCUUGAAAGGGUUUAGUAGUUUCCCCCAUUAAACAUGAUUGUAUAGCUCACUGUUUGGACACAUUCCAUAAUCCAACUUAUAAACCUGCCUGGAAAGUGUAAGGAUUCCAUCACUUGUUGCAAAAAGAUCCACUUCACAGAAUCAUAAGCCUUCUGUAAGUCUAUUUUGAUCAUGCAUCUAGGGGAUACAUGGGUUCUAGAAUAGUGCUUGAUUAGCUCAUGAGCUAAGAUAACAUUGUCAGCAACCCUCCUUCUUGGAAUGAAACCUGCCUGGGAAUCACAGAUGAUACUAGCCAUGCAUUUCUGUAAUCUGUUGGCCAGUAUCUUAGAUAUAAUUUUAUAUAAAACUGAGCAGCAAGCAAUUGGUCGAAAUUCCUUAACUGACUGUGGGUUAGGGACUUUAGGAAUCAGUGUAAGGGAGGCACAAUUAACUGGUUUAUACAUUCUGCUAGAGUGAAGCACUUGUUAAGUUUUGGACCAUUAUCCAUGUAUGCGCUAUUGAUUGCUGGUAGGGAUACAGCUGAGGAACCCAUCAAGGACUUAUAGAAGUUCCUGAUUUCAUCUCUAAUGUCAUCUGGAUUGGUGAGUUUGAUGCCUCCUGCAGUAACCAGUUCAAUAAUGCUUUUGUACUGAUUCCUUUCUUUUAACACUGCAUGAAAAUACUUGUUGUUUGAGUCUCCCAAUUGUAUCCAUUUGGCUCUGGAUUUCUGUUGGAGAAUACUUUCUUCAAUCAGUGACCACUUCUCCAGCUUCAAUAGCAGAUCCUUCUCUUUAGACUGCAAGUCAUCAGCAUAUUGUAAACUCAUCUGGUGUUGGAUGAUUUUUAAUUCCUCCCUGCUAGAUUCAAUUCUCUGUGUGAUGUUCUUAAAUUCUCUAACAUUUAGAGAUUUUAGAACAGGUUUAAGUGCUUUGAGAUUGUUCCAUAUCAUCUUAAGAGUACCCUGAUCUGGACUCCUCCAAUGUGUCUUUAUGAUGUGAUAGAAUUCCUUGUGAUUAGCCCAUGCAUUAUAAAAUCUAAAGGGAGCCUUCCUGACAGUAAUACCUUCCUUAAUAGUCAACACCAUUGGAUUAUGAUCAGAGAUUAGAGGAUGGUCAUACACUGUCUGUACAUGACUCCAUUUAAUCAUCCAGUCAUAGUUUCCAAAAAUUCUAUCCAAUCUACUACAGACACCUCAUUGCCAGUUUGUUUAUUGGUCCAUGUGAAGAAAUCCCCUAUCCAAGGGAGCUCUGAUAAUUCAGCCAGUUGGAUGCAUUGAGUAAAGUCCUGAGUUUCAGCUUACGUGAUUUGAGGACAUGACUGUCUGUCAUUAACAGAUAACACAGCAUUGAAGUCACCUGCAACUAGCCAAGGAUCAGUAAUACCAGUAGCAAGGUUUUGUAUGUACUGCCACAUUGUUCUUCUUUGAUCCAGACCAUUGGAACCAUAAACCACACUGAGCAGGCAGAUCAGAUCCCCUAUAGGAGUGUGAACACUGCAAUGAAGAAAUUGGCCAUCCUCCUGAAUAUUUGUGACAUGAAUCUUCUGAGGGUCCCAUAGAAUCAAGAUUCUGCCCCUUGGAGAGUCUCUGUAGUUAGCUAGCAUACUCCAACCUGGAGCCACCAGAUUAGAAAUUCUUCCUGCAUUAUUCUCCUUUACUUUUGUUUCUACCAAACUAACAUGACUAAAUUUAUUCUGUCUAAAAUAAUCUUUAGCUUCUUUCUGUUUAUAUCUCUUAUUGAUCCCUCUAAUAUUCCAAACUACCAGCUUCAUUUUGUAAAGCUAGGACCCCCUUUAUCAGGGGGUUGAACUGUUCUAUUGGCUGACACUAGCUUCAAAUCUAUUACUCAAUACCACUGGGGAUAAUGGGGGAAAAUUUGCAAGGUUGAAAACUGGAGAUUGCACCUGUUUACCCUUCUCUACCAAAGUGAAGCCUUCAGUGCCUUCCAAAGGACCAGCAUCCUUAUGAGGUAUUACAUUCUGCCUUGGAACUACCUGUUGGUUGGGGUUCUCCAUAGGUUGUAUAUCUGAUUGAAUUGGCACCUUAACUCUCCACUCCUGGGCAAUUUUAGGCUUAUGUGUAGGUUGGGGGGGUUUAAGAAUGGACAAGCAGUUAUGACCUACUAUGAGGCACUUCUCACAGUAUGUUGGCAGAAUGGACAAGCAGUUAUGACCUACUAUGAGGCACUUCUCACAGUAUGUUGGCUUCCAGUCAUAUGUCACUUCCUGUACAAAUUUCUUUCCAUUAGGAUCAAUAAUCUCAAUCUCAUUUGGCAAAGGCUUAGAUACAUUAACCUCAAUAAGCAUGCGUGCAAAGGAGAUCCUAGUCUGUUUGGUAGUGCAUUCAUCAGCAAAAAUCGGUUUGCCAAGUACACUGGCAAUCCUACUCAAAGAUCUACUACCCCAACACAACAUUGGAAGCCUAGGGAAUUUUACCCACAAAGGAAUAUCAUUAGGGAAAGCAGCAGUGAAGUCAAAAUCAGGGGUCCAUUGCUUCAAGACCAUAGGUCUAUUAGCAAUGGAAUAUGGGCCAGCACAUAAUACCUCUUUAGCAUCCUCUAUGGUUUGAAAUUUAGAAUUGCUUCAAGACCAUAGGUCUGUUAGCAAUGGAAUAUGGUCCAACACAUAAUACCUCUUUAGCAUCCUCCAUGGUUUGAAAUUUAGCUACAUAGUAACCCUCCUCAUGGUAGUACAGAUCUAGCUCUGGAACAUGAGACCAGUGUAGGUUAAUGAAACGUCGCAUAGCAUUGUAGCCAGGACCAGUCCCCAACACAAAAAUAACUAUGGCACAUUUCCAUUUAUGCUCUUCCUCUUCUACUUCCUCUUUCAAUAACUGACCUAGAGGUUUAUUCAUCUCUGGAACAUGAGACCAGUGUAGGUUAAUGAAACGUCGCAUAGCAUUGUAGCCAGGACUAUUCCCCAACACAAAAAUAACUAUGGCACAUUUCCAUUUCUGCUCUUCCUCUUCUACUUCCUCUUUCAAUAACUGACCUACAGGUUUACCAUCAAGCAGAGUAGGUGGUAUGUACUCCAGUGUCAUACUAUUUGAGGCAAACCUGUUCUUCUGGAACAAAUUUGCCCACACUUUAGUGCCUUCGUUUGGUACCUUCACUGUUGCAGGGUCAGAUGGUUGAACUACAGUUUGCAUGUGGUCAUUACCACCAUUAACUUGUAAAAUCUGAGAUUGAGGAAGCUCCGUAACUUCAGAAACCUCCUCUGAUUGUAGCAAUGGAACAGUAGUCAAGUUGGAGUUUAAAAUAAUUUUAAAUAAAAAAUAAAUUAUAAAAAAUAAUGAAUUACCAAUUCAAAUUUUGGAGUAGCUUCAAAUUGGAGUUUUGAAAAUUACCUCUUGUUGUAGCAAAGGAACAGUAGUCAAUGAAACAGUGGUAAGAUUUGAACCUUCUUCACUGGAAACAGUUGCUGGAUGGUUUAUUGUGGAGAUGAUGCGAUCUAUUGUGGUAAUUGGUAUUUUUCGAGGCCUACCCCUACCGCGACCUCUUCCUCUUGCCAUGAUAACCAGCUCGGCGCGCCGAGUCAGGCGGAGAAAAUGAGGCAACGGAACAGUAAGGUAGAGAGAAGGGAGAGCUUCUCUCUCUUCACCGAAUUAAUCAUGCGCCGAGUCAGGCGGAGAAGAUGAGGCAAUGGAACAGUAAAGGUAGAGAGAAGGAAAUCUCUCUCUAUCAUUCCAUUAUUACUGGUCAAGUUACUAGUACUCAUCCUAAAUGCAACUCUUUCUGAAAAUUUAGCCUUAUUUUCAAAUCAAACAAUAAACAUAAUGUCUUUAAUAUUUCUAGUCUAUCUUACUAUUGCAAAUCGUCGUAAUCGAUCUCAAUACUCGUAAUUUUCUGAUUUUCUUCUUUUUGUGGUCUACUUCACAGUUCUUGAAUUUCAAUUCAGUAAAACAUAAAAUAUAGCUUACACACUAUAUAAGACAAGUUCAACUACGAAUAUUUUGAAUCUAACACAAGUAAUUCACAUUAAGGUCACACAGAUUUGGCGCGUCAAAAAUCAGAUCAUGCAUACGUUUACAUAAUUAAUCACGCUUUGUUAAUAUUAAAAAUGUUGGGCCAAAGUUGUGCAAACGUGUACCUUCAAUUAUUAUGGACCUUUUGAAUAUCCUAACUAUGUCACGCGAACGUAUACAUAACUACAAUAAUUUAUUUAUUAAUACGCGCCUAAAAUAUACUAGCUACUAUUAAGAAUUAUUCUUCUUAAACUAAUUUGAAAUUAUUGUGAAUGCCAUAAGUCAUGCAAUUAUUGUGAAGGAAGGGAUAUAUAUAAAUCACUAAAAAAUUUACAUGACCAAACACAUUACAAGUUUCUUAGAAAAUAUUCCUAAAAAUUGUUCAAGUGUUCAUAUGGAGAGAUCGAGACUUACUUAUUCUCUAGCGAGCUUUGUCAAAUUAAAUGAGAAUAAAGAUAACAUAAGAAAGUCAUAUGUGUAUAUCAUUAUUCUUAAGCUUAUCUCAAUCAUAUACAAACAAGAUUCAUAUGGAUUCAUCAAUAAACCGAAAUGAAUUCACUGCUCAAUAUAAAAACCAACCAACAAAUGAACUAGAUUAUCAAAUUUAAAUUGGGUUCAAGAAUUAGUUACUUCAAUCACAUAAGUACAUACCCAUUUAUCCAAUGAAAAUCUUGAUAUCUAUGAAUCAAACAGUAAUGGAACAAAAACAAACUUUCACACUUAAUUAUUCUGAACAUGAAAUUAAUUGUAACAAGGGAGUGCUAACAUCAUUUAAGUUCAAGCAUUUUACAAACGAGAGUGAACAAAAAGACCAAGAAUAAAAAUGAUUAAAAGUAAUAAUAAUAAAAUUAAUAUCCAAAAGAUAAAGAAAGAAUCUAACCUUUGUAUUUAAUAAGAAUAUGAAAAUCCAAUCCCUAACAAAGCAGCGGUGAGAAUGAAGUAAAAAUUCCAAAAAUUGAUGCCGAAAAACUUGAGAAAAAUCGAUCUGGACCGCGACCGGAAAACCUCCAACCACGAACUCGAAACUCAAACUCACUGGAAUUUUAGCCCGUAUGGCAGAAUCUUUUUACUAAUUGGAUUGAAUUUUGGGACAAAAGAAGAUUGUUUCAAAAUGAUGAAAAUGGAGGAUAGAGGUGCAGGAAAAUCCCAAGAUUUGAGUCCUUAGCCUCUUUUGUGUGCGUGUCUCCGUAUCCCUUCCUCUAUUCUGUUUUCCCCAAUUCUCUUAAUCUCCUUUGUUUCUUUCUUUCUUUUUUAAUCUUUAUAUCCCUUUUUCCCUCACUAUUACGUCCUUUUCUCUGUCUGUCUUCUUCAUUUUCUUGUGUUCUUCCUAUUUUAUAAAGAAGAAUGGGGGCGGUUAUAUGGAGAUGUGAUUGUAAAUGUGUGAUCAUGAAUAAUAAUCGUGAGUAAAG
This 8806-nucleotide long non-coding RNA is filed under the name Nicotiana benthamiana. RNAcentral describes it as "long non-coding RNA (NBEN_LNC018889)". Lineage: Eukaryota; Viridiplantae; Streptophyta; Magnoliopsida; Solanales; Solanaceae. The record is from RNAcentral.